Molecule: ribosomal RNA, 491 nt
Filed under: uncultured bacterium
Lineage: Bacteria
Description: partial 16S ribosomal RNA
Rfam family: Bacterial small subunit ribosomal RNA
Source: RNAcentral
UUGCACGCUGGCGGCAUGCUUUACACCUGCAAGUCGCACGGUAACAGGCCUUCGGGUGCUGACGAGUGGCGAACGGGUGAGUAAUGCAUCGGAACGUGCCCAGAGGUGGGGGAUAACGCAGCGAAAGCUGUGCUAAUACCGCAUGUGAUCUGAGGAUGAAAGCGGGGGACCAAGCAGCAAUGUUUGGCCUCGCGCCUCUGGAGCGGCCGAUGUCAGAUUAGGUAGUUGGUGGGGUAAAGGCCUACCAAGCCGACGAUCUGUAGCUGGUCUGAGAGGACGACCAGCCACACUGGGACUGAGACACGGCCCAGACUCCUACGGGAGGCAGCAGUGGGGAAUUUUGGACAAUGGGCGCAAGCCUGAUCCAGCAAUGCCGCGUGCGGGAAGAAGGCCUUCGGGUUGUAAACCGCUUUUGUACGGAACGAAAAGGCUCUGGCUAAUACCUGGGGCUGAUGACGGUACCGUAAGAAUAAGCACCGGCUAACUACGUG